AAGCGCUUGCAACCAGACUUGCGCGCUGAUGAUCAUCCGGGCUUCUACCCGGUGCACUCGUCUGCGCUCAGGCCAGCAUCGGUUUCGGUGGUGGGAUAAAGGCCUUGGGAAUGUGGCUCUCUUCGGGGAGUGUUAUAGCCCACCGUGUAAUACCCUGGGGGGGACUGAGGUUCGCGCAUCUGCAAGGAUGCUGGCGUAAUGGU
This 203-nucleotide ribosomal RNA is filed under the name Helotiales sp. RNAcentral describes it as "partial large subunit ribosomal RNA". The record is from RNAcentral. Lineage: Eukaryota; Fungi; Ascomycota; Leotiomycetes; Helotiales.